AGGGAAACCGAGUCUUAAUUGGGCGUUAAGUUGCAGGGUAUAGACCCGAAACCCGGUGAUCUAGCCAUGGGCAGGUUGAAGGUUGGGUAACACUAACUGGAGGACCGAACCGACUAAUGUUGAAAAAUUAGCGGAUGACCUGUGGCUGGGGGUGAAAGGCCAAUCAAACCGGGAGAUAGCUGGUUCUCCCCGAAAGCUAUUUAGGUAGCGCCUCGUGAAUUCAUCUCCGGGGGUAGAGCACUGUUUCGGCUAGGGGGCCAUCCCGGCUUACCAACCCGAUGCAAACUGCGAAUACCGGAGAAUGUUAUCACGGGAGACACACGGCGGGUGCUAACGUCCGUCGUGAAGAGGGAAACAACCCAGACCGCCAGCUAAGGUCCCAAAGUCAUGGUUAAGUGGGAAACGAUGUGGGAAGGCCCAGACAGCCAGGAUGUUGGCUUAGAAGCAGCCAUCAUUUAAAGAAAGCGUAAUAGCUCACUGGUCGAGUCGGCCUGCGCGGAAGAUGUAACGGGGCUAAACCAUGCACCGAAGCUGCGGCAGCGACGCUUAUGCGUUGUUGGGUAGGGGAGCGUUCUGUAAGCCUGUGAAGGUGGCCUGUGAGGGUUGCUGGAGGUAUCAGAAGUGCGAAUGCUGACAUAAGUAACGAUAAAGCGGGUGAAAAGCCCGCUCGCCGGAAGACCAAGGGUUCCUGUCCAACGUUAAUCGGGGCAGGGUGAGUCGACCCCUAAGGCGAGGCCGAAAGGCGUAGUCGAUGGGAAACGGGUUAAUAUUCCCGUACUUGGUGUUACUGCGAAGGGGGGACGGAGAAGGCUAUGUUGGCCGGGCGACGGUUGUCCCGGUUUAAGCGUGUAGGUGUGUGUUCCAGGUAAAUCCGGUUCACUUUAACACUGAGGCGUGACGACGAGGCACUACGGUGCUGAAGCAACAAAUGCCCUGCUUCCAGGAAAAGCCUCUAAGCAUCAGGUAACAUCAAAUCGUACCCCAAACCGACACAGGUGGUCAGGUAGAGAAUACCAAGGCGCUUGAGAGAACUCGGGUGAAGGAACUAGGCAAAAUGGUGCCGUAACUUCGGGAGAAGGCACGCUGACAUGUAGGUGAAGUGAUUUACUCAUGGAGCUGAAGUCAGUCGAAGAUACCAGCUGGCUGCAACUGUUUAUUAAAAACACAGCACUGUGCAAACACGAAAGUGGACGUAUACGGUGUGACGCCUGCCCGGUGCCGGAAGGUUAAUUGAUGGGGUCAGCGCAAGCGAAGCUCCUGAUCGAAGCCCCGGUAAACGGCGGCCGUAACUAUAACGGUCCUAAGGUAGCGAAAUUCCUUGUCGGGUAAGUUCCGACCUGCACGAAUGGCGUAAUGAUGGCCAGGCUGUCUCCACCCGAGACUCAGUGAAAUUGAACUCGCUGUGAAGAUGCAGUGUACCCGCGGCAAGACGGAAAGACCCCGUGAACCUUUACUAUAGCUUGACACUGAACAUUGAGCCUUGAUGUGUAGGAUAGGUGGGAGGCUUUGAAGUGUGGACGCCAGUCUGCAUGGAGCCGACCUUGAAAUACCACCCUUUAAUGUUUGAUGUUCUAACGUGGACCCGUAAUCCGGGUUGCGGACAGUGUCUGGUGGGUAGUUUGACUGGGGCGGUCUCCUCCUAAAGAGUAACGGAGGAGCACGAAGGUUGGCUAAUCCUGGUCGGACAUCAGGAGGUUAGUGCAAUGGCAUAAGCCAGCUUGACUGCGAGCGUGACGGCGCGAGCAGGUGCGAAAGCAGGUCAUAGUGAUCCGGUGGUUCUGAAUGGAAGGGCCAUCGCUCAACGGAUAAAAGGUACUCCGGGGAUAACAGGCUGAUACCGCCCAAGAGUUCAUAUCGACGGCGGUGUUUGGCACCUCGAUGUCGGCUCAUCACAUCCUGGGGCUGAAGUAGGUCCCAAGGGUAUGGCUGUUCGCCAUUUAAAGUGGUACGCGAGCUGGGUUUAGAACGUCGUGAGACAGUUCGGUCCCUAUCUGCCGUGGGCGCUGGAGAACUGAGGGGGGCUGCUCCUAGUACGAGAGGACCGGAGUGGACGCAUCACUGGUGUUCGGGUUGUCAUGCCAAUGGCACUGCCCGGUAGCUAAAUGCGGAAGAGAUAAGUGCUGAAAGCAUCUAAGCACGAAACUUGCCCCGAGAUGAGUUCU
Molecule: ribosomal RNA, 2162 nt
Filed under: Salmonella enterica subsp. enterica serovar Saintpaul
Lineage: Bacteria; Pseudomonadati; Pseudomonadota; Gammaproteobacteria; Enterobacterales; Enterobacteriaceae
Description: bacterial LSU rRNA
Rfam family: Bacterial large subunit ribosomal RNA
Source: RNAcentral